This 447-nucleotide ribosomal RNA is filed under the name uncultured bacterium. Its description in RNAcentral is "partial 16S ribosomal RNA". It matches the Rfam family "Bacterial small subunit ribosomal RNA", at positions 29 to 523 of the family's 1533-position model. The record is from RNAcentral.
AACGAACGCUGGCGGCAUGCCUAACACAUGCAGGUCGAACGAGAUCUUCGGGUCUAGUGGCGCACGGGUGCGUAACGCGUGGGAAUCUGCCCUUUGGUUCGGAAUAACAGUUGGAAACGACUGCUAAUACCGGAUGAUGACGAAAGUCCAAAGAUUUAUCGCCAGAGGAUGAGCCCGCGUAGGAUUAGCUAGUUGGUGAGGUAAAGGCGCACCAAGGCGACGAUCCUUAGCUGUCUGAGAGGAUGAUCAGCCACACUGGGACUGAGACACGGCCCAGACUCCUACGGGAGGCAGCAGUGGGAAUAUUGGACAAUGGGCGAAAGCCUGAUCCAGCAAUGCCGCGUGAGUGAUGAAGGCCUUAGGGUUGUAAAGCUCUUUUACCCGGGAUGAUAAUGACAGUACCGGGAGAAUAAGCUCCGGCUAACUCCGUGCCAGCCGCCGCCGUAA